Molecule: ribosomal RNA, 409 nt
Filed under: uncultured bacterium
Lineage: Bacteria
Description: bacterial SSU rRNA
Rfam family: Bacterial small subunit ribosomal RNA
Source: RNAcentral
GUGGGGAAUAUUGGGCAAUGGAGGCAACUCUGACCCAGCAAUGCCGCGUGAAUGAAGAAGGUCUUCGGAUUGUAAAGUUCUUUAAUUAGGGACGAAAAAAAUGACGGUACCUAAGGAAUAAGCCACGGCAAACUAUGUGCCAGCAGCCGCGGUAAUACAUAGGUGGCAAGCGUUGUCCGGAAUGACUGGGCGUAAAGGGAGCGUAGGCGGUCUGUUAAGUUGGAAGUGAAAUCCCGGGGCUCAACCCCGGAACUGCUUUCAAGACUGACGGACUUGAGUGUAAGAGGGGUAAGCGGAAUUCCUAGUGUAGCGGUGGAAUGCGUAGAUAUUAGGAGGAACACCAGUGGCGAAGGCGGCUUACUGGAUUAUAACUGACGCUGAGGCUCGAAAGCGUGGGUAGCAAACAGGA